RNAcentral lists this ribosomal RNA (433 nucleotides) under uncultured bacterium. RNAcentral describes it as "partial 16S ribosomal RNA". It matches the Rfam family "Bacterial small subunit ribosomal RNA", at positions 29 to 507 of the family's 1533-position model. The record is from RNAcentral.
AACGAACGCUGGCGGCAUGCCUAUCACAUGCAAGUCGAACGAGACCUUCGGGUCUAGUGGCGCACGGGUGCGUAACGCGUGGGAACCUGCCCUUAGGUUCGGAAUAACUCCCCGAAAGGGGUGCUAAUACCGGAUAAUGUCUUCGGACCAAAGAUUUAUCGCCUUUGGAUGGGCCCGCGUUGGAUUAGCUAGUUGGUAGGGUAAAAGCCUACCAAGGCGACGAUCCAUAGCUGGUCUGAGAGGAUGAUCAGCCACACUGGGACUGAGACACGGCCCAGACUCCUACGGGAGGCAGCAGUGGGGAAUAUUGGACAAUGGGCGAAAGCCUGAUCCAGCAAUGCCGCGUGAGUGAUGAAGGCCUUAGGGUUGUAAAGCUCUUUUACCCGGGAUGAUAAUGACAGUACCGGGAGAAUAAGCUCCGGCUAACUCCGUG